RNAcentral lists this long non-coding RNA (1243 nucleotides) under Homo sapiens (human). Its description in RNAcentral is "non-protein coding lnc-DAZ4-2:1". Lineage: Eukaryota; Metazoa; Chordata; Mammalia; Primates; Hominidae. The record is from RNAcentral.
UUCAGCUGGCUCUUUUCAUAUUACUGCAGACAUAUGGUGGGAACAUAUUAUAAAACAUUCAUUUCAAAAAGUGAUUCUGAGAAAAUAUGGAACCUGUGACCUUAACCAUUUACAUUUAAAAAAGACUAGCAAAGUGUGAAUUACUACAAGGGACAGAAAGAAAAGCAGUUAUAAUUUCUUUCUUCAAUGUUUAUCAACUACCCAGAGAAAAACUUGUCAAUGUUAUAAAUUUGGAAAGCUUUCCAGGUGUACCCAAUCUUCAGUGAACAGAAGAAAACCUUUAGCAGAGAGAAAUACUACAAAUGCAAAGAAUAUGGCAGAAACUGUAGGUAGUUCUCAGAUUUUACUAUAAAAAAUGGAAUACUUACUGCAGAGAGAUGCUACAGAUAUGAAGAAUGUGGCAAAGCCUUUAAAAAGUUCUCAAACCUUACUGAACAUAAGAGAGUUCAUACUGGAGGAAAAACCUACAAAUGUGAAGAAUGUGACAAAAUUUUAACCUGCUCCUCAACCCUUAUUAAACACAAGAUAAAUCAUUUUGGAAAUAGAUCCUACAAUUGCAAAGAAUGUGUAAAAGCCUUUAAAUGUUUCUCAGACCUUACUAAUUCUAAGAGAAUUCUCAGAACUUGCUAAAAAUAAAAUAAUUUAUACUGGAGAGAAACCAUCAUACAAAUGUGAAGAAUGUCACAGAGCCUAUGGGGGGUUCUCAGACCUUAAUAAACAUAAGAUAACUCAUACUGAAGAGAAACCCUACAUAUAUAACUAAUGUGGAGAAGCUUUUAAGUGGUUCUCAGCCGUUAGUAAACAUAAGAGAAUUUAUACUGGAGGGAAACCCUACACCUGUAGAAAAAAAAAAGUCAAAGCCUUUACCUGCUUUUCAAUCCUUAUUAACCACAAGAUAAUUCAUAUAGAAGACAGCCCUUACAAAUCUGAAGCAUGUGGCAAAACCUUUAAGUGCUUUUCAGACUUUGCUAAUCAUAAGAGAAUUCACACUGCAGGAAAAGCCUACAAAUGUGAAGAAUGUGGUGAAACAUUAAGUUCAUUCUCACACUUCAUUAGAAAUAAUAGAACUCAUAGUAGAGAGAAGCUUCACAAGUGUUAAAAAUGUGGAAAAGCUUUUAAAGCAUCCUGAUUUUAUGUCCAACAUCAGAGACUUAAUACUGAACAAAUGCCACAUAAAGGUAAUGACUGUUGAAGAAGAUUUAACUUAACAUCUUGCAGCAUCUCUAAGAACUCGCUUUAUACU